UUUAGGAACACAAGAUUAGUUUAGGUAAUAGGUACCCAUGUGUCUAUAUAGUCUUAGAUCAAGAAAAUUCCUUUCGAUUUUUCUUUUUUCAGUUUGAUGGUUAAAUUGAUAAUGCCAAGAUCCCAUUGGAGCUUGACAUGUUUUAUUUACCAUUUCUGAUGAGAUUAACAUGGAUUAUUUACUUGAAAGACAGCAAAUUCAAUGAAAAGUAUGAAAAAUGAGUUGAUUACCAAUGAGAAAGAGC
Molecule: long non-coding RNA, 244 nt
Filed under: Manihot esculenta (cassava)
Lineage: Eukaryota; Viridiplantae; Streptophyta; Magnoliopsida; Malpighiales; Euphorbiaceae
Description: long non-coding RNA (MESC_LNC003375)
Source: RNAcentral